AUACGUACAGCAACAAUAUAAUUGAAAUUAAUUCAAAUUAAGGGCUUGUUGGCGCAAACUUAUACACUGCUCCACUUAAAAGUGUUUAUUUAUUUAUAUUGCAGUUUUAUUUAUGUUUGUUAAAAUUGGAACAUAGUUUUACUACUUCUCGCUCUUUACAAAAGAGCGUUGGCUGUCUUCGAUAAAAGCAGAAUCAGUGAAUACAGAUGCAAAAGACUAUAAUUUUAUUUAUUUCACUAUUUGGUAACAUUUUUCAUAUAAAUUCAGUGUAUUAUUUGUAAUGCUAAAUUUAAAAGUAAGAAAAAUCGUAUUUUUGUUGACGUAUCUUAAAUUUGACACCUUUCACUGUACAUAACCUCAAUAUCGUGACUUUACUAUUGCAAACAUUUUGAAGAAAUGUAAUUAAUAAUACUUCUAUUAACUGUUGGUAUAAUUUGGCCUAAUUUGUAAAGAGUGGAAGCAACAUUUAUAGAAGUGUCAGUAUCACGGACUGUGGAUUUACCAAAAGAUUUUUAAUAUUGAUGAGAAGCUAAAUUUUUAAAAUGUAUAUUUAAUAACAUUUCUGCUUAAUAAUUGUUGUUCAAACGA
This is a non-coding RNA of Osmia lignaria (orchard mason bee), 588 nucleotides long. Lineage: Eukaryota; Metazoa; Arthropoda; Insecta; Hymenoptera; Megachilidae. The record is from RefSeq and is a predicted model, not a curated record.